Molecule: ribosomal RNA, 408 nt
Filed under: uncultured bacterium
Lineage: Bacteria
Description: bacterial SSU rRNA
Rfam family: Bacterial small subunit ribosomal RNA
Source: RNAcentral
AACGAACGCUGGCGGCAGGCCUAACACAUGCAAGUCGAACGAAGUCUUCGGACUUAGUGGCGCACGGGUGCGUAACGCGUGGGAAUCUACCCUUAGGUGCGGAAUAACAGUUAGAAAUGACUGCUAAUACCGCAUAAUGACUCCGGUCCAAAGAUUUAUCGCCUAAGGAUGAGCCCGCGUAAGAUUAGCUAGUUGGUGAGGUAAAAGCUCACCAAGGCGACGAUCUUUAGCUGGUCUGAGAGGAUGAUCAGCCACACUGGGACUGAGACACGGCCCAGACUCCUACGGGAGGCAGCAGUGGGGAAUAUUGGACAAUGGGCGAAAGCCUGAUCCAGCCAUGCCGCGUGAGUGAUGAAGGCCUUAGGGUUGUAAAGACUCUUUUACCUAGGGAUGAUAAUGACAGUACCU